Long non-coding RNA from Homo sapiens (human), 159 nucleotides. The record is from Ensembl. NCBI's taxonomy places the organism in Eukaryota, Metazoa, Chordata, Mammalia, Primates, Hominidae.
AGGAAAUAAGCUGCAGGCUCCUGGGGUAUAUUUAUUUUCAACUUUACAAGAGAACAAUAAAUUAUUUUCCAAAGGUUUGUACCAUUUUUCACCUCCAUUGGCUGUGUAGCUUUGGGAGCUUGGGCUACCCUGUAACGUCUAAAUGCCUGUGCAGUGUGG